RNAcentral lists this long non-coding RNA (443 nucleotides) under Eucalyptus grandis. RNAcentral's name for it is "long non-coding RNA (EGRA_LNC004110)". The record is from RNAcentral. Lineage: Eukaryota; Viridiplantae; Streptophyta; Magnoliopsida; Myrtales; Myrtaceae.
UCCUUACCGAUUUCUCCUUCACGCAGCCGACGCCAGCGUUUCCCCCAUCCGAUAGCUUCUUCAUGAUCCAACUGCAGCUGAAGCAUACCCCAUCUUCAUCACCCCAUCCCCCAUCAUCAUCAUCACCAUCACCCCACUAGCCCGUAACUCCACUUUCCUUCUCCAUUCUGCCGUGCCAACUCGCUCCAACAACCGCACCAUCCUCCCACCUCCUCCAUGCGUUAGCAAAUCCAGCAUCCCCACACCCGUGUCAGCUCCUUCGUGACUCCCUCACCCACCGUCAGAACAGCGCCCAACACCCCACCUCCUCAUUGCCCGAAGCUACUCAUUCGCCUGUUUCCCCCAACGGCCAGCCCAUUCGAAGCCCACCAGCAGCCCACGAAGUCAGCCCGCCCGCAAGUUUCAGCCCUGUCAACUGAGCUUAGUAGUUCACUAUGGGCUUG